GCAGAGGUUCUGGUUGCCAAGGGAAGAGAGGUACAAGUUGAAGCAUAGAUGGACAAGAAGAAAAUGAGGAUAUGAAAUGCAGGUGGUUAAUGUGGGUAAGUCUCAUCCAAUCCUUUGAAGGCCUGAAGAACAAAGAGUGAGGUUUCUGGAAGAAGAAAAUUUUACCUCAAGCCUGCAAUGUAGAAAUUCUGCUUGAGUUUCCCGCCUGCUGGCCUGCCCUGUGGAAUUCGGAGUCAAGAAGGAGUCUUGUAAGCAUUAACUGAGAUAGUAUAUGAAGAGUGCUUUUGCACCGAGUGAACCUUCAAUCAACUGUACUAGUUUGUAUGCCUGGAAGAGCUGCUAUAUGGGAUCAGAAAGAAAAAUAAGGUGCAUACGCCAGAAAAAAAAUACUUGCAUAUGAGUACUAGGAGAUGCAUGACAAUGUUCACGGCAGCAGUAUUCAUGGCAGUGAAAAAUGAAAAGAACUGAAAUGCCCAUUGAUAAAAACGUCUACUUAUUUGUGUCAUCUUUGCACAGUGGAAUUGUGCGAGUGGAAAUGAUUGAUCUACAGCUAGGAGAAGCAGCAGAGCUCAAUCUCAAAAACAUAACGUUGUGUGGAAAAAGCUAACCUCAGAACACUUUGCGGCUCUAUCUUAGCAAACCAGGAGAGAAAUUCUCCUGAUGGCCUUGAAGAAGCAAACAGCCACCUGGUUAAGCCCCUGUGGAUAGUGCCAAGUGGCAGGAAAGUGGGAGCCACCUCUAGGACCUGAGGAUUAAAGUCAGUAAGAGCUGGGACCUCACUCAUGCAGACUCGAGGACAUGAAUUCGACCAACAACUUGAAUGAGCUUGGAAGUGGAUUCUUCCCUAGUCCAGUCUUCAGAAAUUAAGAAUGUUCCCAAAGAAUGAUGGAGACAUUUCAAAAGGAUACGGAAGCCAGAUUGUGGGCGCUUCUACUGGCCAACUCUGGGACAUCGUGGACAUCAAAAUAAAUUUGUAAUAAUAAAGGAUUAUAGCCUAUUAGUUAAAUCAGAAAAAUCUGAUUUAACUAAAUGAGUAGGAGGAAAAGAAAGCUCUUCCUUAUAUUAGAAAGUCAAUUAAUAAAUGCAGAAAGGAAUGAAAAAAUUAGAAAAGCCACCAUUUGGCAACCAUGGCAGGCAGAAUGGGGAGUAUGCCUCCAGACAGUAAUUCCUUUCAAACUGGUUUAUAGGAACUCACUGAGCUUGCUGAUCGACCUCUGAGAGGCAAAGUUUCUGAAUUAUGAAGUACUGAUUAUAUAAACUUAGACAGAGACAUGCUUCAUUAUUUAAUAGGACUGUGUCAAAAGCCUACUAUUAGGAUGAUGUGUUGGGUGUGGAACAGGGUCUCUUCCUGCCAGGAACACUGGUGAUUUCACUCCGUGUUCAGGCUGAUCUUUGAAGUUGAAGACAAGCAGAAGAAUCCUUCUAAAAUUUAGCCAUGCCCAUAGGCUGGGAGGGACACUGCUCCAUUCAGAGGCAGCAAAGCACAUUACUGUAUCUCCUAUAGAGCUUUGAGCAGUCCAGUGUACAUGGAGAAACUUAGUAAAUGUUGUUGAAUUAGUGAAUGAACAAAUCAAUGGACCAAGUCAGGGGUAAGUCUUACAUUUGUCAUCUAGGUGAUUAAGAAAGGAAAAAGUAUCUGUUUCAAGAGGAUUACAAUCUAACUGUACUCCAAUAGUAAAAUUUACUCUUUUGGAAUCUGAAGACAUUCAUGAGUCUUUGCAUCUUAUUUCCUGAAUUCUAACUUCCCUUGCCUUUAUGAAUGACAAAGAAGAUGCAUACAACCUUUGUAAAUGCUUGCUGAAUUUGAACAUUAUGUUGCUUUGUGAUUGCCUCCACUUGGGAUUCCAAAUGACAUCAUGUGGAUUCACUGGAGGCCUCGGGUAGCUGGG
This 1889-nucleotide long non-coding RNA is filed under the name Homo sapiens (human). RNAcentral describes it as "HSALNT0308974". The record is from RNAcentral. Lineage: Eukaryota; Metazoa; Chordata; Mammalia; Primates; Hominidae.